UAAAAGUUUUAUUUUAGCUAAAAAUUUAUUUAAUUUAUAUUUUACAUGUAAAUUUUUGUAUGAAUUAUUUAUAUUUUAAAAAAAUAUAUAUGUAUAUUUUAUAUAAUCUCAGUAUUUAAUUUUAAAAAUAAAAGAAAUUUUGAUUUAGUAAUAAAUUAUAUUAUAGGAUAAUUUUGUGCCAGCAUCUGCGGUUAUACAAAUUAUGAAAAUAAAUUAUUUUAGUUUAUAGUUAUUUAAUAUUUUAAUAAAAUUAAAAAUUAAAUUUUUAGGUUAAAUUAUAAAUUUAAUAUUAAUUUUUAAUAAAAAUAAUAAAGCUAUUAAAUCUUUAAAAUAAACUAGGAUUAGAUACCCUACUAUAAAAAAUGUAAUAUAUUAAAAACUUAGGUAGUAUUAGAUAUAAUCUUGAAACUUAAAAAAUUUGGCGGUGUUUUAAUCUAUUUAGAGGAACCUGUUCUAUAAUUGAUAAACCACGUUAAAUUUUACUAAAUUUUAUUAAAUUUGUAUACCGUCGUUAUCAGAUUAUUUUAAAAGAAAAUAAUAUUCAAAAAAUUUUAUAAAAUUUUAUUUCAGAUCAAGGUGCAGUUUAUAAUUUAGAAGAAAUGGGUUACAAUAAAGUUAUUUAAAUGGAUAAAUUAUUGAAAUAUAAUUUUUAAAGUGGAUUUAAUAGUAAUAUUAAUAAAAUAAUUAUUAUGAUUUUAGUUCUAAAACAUGUACAUAUCGCCCGUCGCUCUUUCUUUUAAAGAAAGAUAAGUCGUAACAAAGUAGAUGUACUGGAAAGUGUAUCUAGAAUGAU
RNAcentral lists this non-coding RNA (793 nucleotides) under Micromus angulatus. Lineage: Eukaryota; Metazoa; Arthropoda; Insecta; Neuroptera; Hemerobiidae. The record is from RNAcentral.